CACAGCUACAGGACCAGGAGGGGAAUUCAAUCUGUUUGACUUCAGAGCCUGGCCCAUUCCUUUUAUGACUUAGGUUCUGAGCCUCCAAAGCACACAAGGGAGCCUUAUACUUUCAAAAGCUCAGUGGGCUUCUCUGCACCGUGAGUGGGAGCCACUUGCCCUGGCUGGCUUCUUCCCAACUUCUAGCCCUUUCUCACCCACUCUUCAUCUUUUUGCUCUUCUUCAGUCCCCAGAUUCUCUUAGCUUUUCUCCUCCGUGUCCUUUUUUAUCCUAACGUGUUUUUUUGAGACAUUUCAAACGCUAACAAGUUGAGGUAUUGGACAGCAAACGCUAACCCUCAGCCACCAGCUCGAUGUCAUCUUUCUGUGCCUGGACUUAGUGUCCCACCUACCUGCCUGUCUCUUCAUCUCUCCCUGUGGCUGUAAGUUUAUCUCAUUAUUUUGUCACAUUUCACAGCAACUUGCAGGUGUAGAUCCACUUCUCCAGGGUUUUUUGUUUGUUUGGCGUUUUUUUGUAUUUUAAAACAAAAGUUUUAAAAAAUAUUGUCCUGGGGUCUCCAUGUUAUUGUUCCCCUCCUCUUCUCACAUCAGCCACAUCCCAGACCUGAGUGAUGCCACCUAUCUGUCCCCUUACGCACUCAAAGUGGUGGGUCUGUGGAGGGGCAGGACCUGUUGCACCAUCUGCAGUUGAAAUUGCCCCUAGUGUCCCCUCUUCACCUUAUGGGCCUCCAACCUCCCGGGGUACGGUGGUUCAAGCCCCAUUCCUGUUCAGUAACCUGCUGUAACUCCCAUUGCUCUUGUUGCUCUGCUCAGCACUGGGAAGGUGUGGAGGUAACGCCCUACUAACAGGUUUCUCAAGAUGAGGACCCUGCAAAGCCACUGGGUGGUUGUAAAAACUCUUGUUCUUGGGCACCAACAUGGAGCGGAAUCUUUAGCAAUGGUCAACAAGAUUCUCACCAGAGCUGAGCUAGAUGCCUGCACCAGCCCUUAAGCCUCCAAAACUUACCAGGAGAUUGAACCCAGGGGAGCUCUACAGUGAGCUACAUCUUUGCCUUGAGAUAUUUGAGUUUCCAUCUGGAAAAAAGUUCAUGGAUCAUCAUGUUUGAGCGGUAGUGGAGGGAGAGGCCACAUUCAUUGGCCCUCCAGCUCUGCUAAUAGAUGUGACCCAGCAACAUCUGUGUCGGAAGCAGAAAGGUGGUGUCAUCACAUUUCUCUCUGAGGAACCCUAGCAAUAAUCUGAUUCAUGAAAACACACACAUCCUUCCUGGAGCCCUGGAACUGAAUACAAAUUCAUUGCCCACCAUUCCUAGAAUAUGGACCUGGUGUAGCUCACCUCCUGACACUGGGUUGUCAGGCAGAUAGCACUUGGAUUUAUUAACAACCACAUUCCUUUCCUGUUCCUAUUUCAACUAUCAUUCUAAAAGAUGUCUAAGAGGGAAAAACCAAAAUCACAAGACUGGACUCAUUUCAUCUGUUGGAAUCCACAAUUCUCCAGCUGCUUGAAGGAUAGCUCAAGCCUUGUGUGAUGGGCACAUGAAGACCACUCAUUGGGGGGGGAUUCCUCUUUCGCAGACACACCUGGCCGCACCUCCCCUUAGCCUUAGAUUUUUAUUUAAUUAUAGCAGAGAAGAGAUUUCUAUUGGGGAUAUUUUCCCACUUGACAGCAACUUUAGCCAAUUCUUUAAUCCUGAUAGUACAUUCUUCUUUAAUAU
This 1711-nucleotide long non-coding RNA is filed under the name Heterocephalus glaber (naked mole-rat). RNAcentral's name for it is "lncRNA (ENSHGLG00000044195.1)". Lineage: Eukaryota; Metazoa; Chordata; Mammalia; Rodentia; Bathyergidae. The record is from RNAcentral.